Molecule: transfer RNA, 72 nt
Filed under: Mesocricetus auratus (golden hamster)
Lineage: Eukaryota; Metazoa; Chordata; Mammalia; Rodentia; Cricetidae
Rfam family: tRNA
About the family: Transfer RNA (tRNA) molecules are approximately 80 nucleotides in length. Their secondary structure includes four short double-helical elements and three loops (D, anti-codon, and T loops). Further hydrogen bonds mediate the characteristic L-shaped molecular structure. tRNAs have two regions of fundamental functional importance: the anti-codon, which is responsible for specific mRNA codon recognition, and the 3' end, to which the tRNAs corresponding amino acid is attached (by aminoacyl-tRNA synthetases). tRNAs cope with the degeneracy of the genetic code in two manners: having more than one tRNA (with a specific anti-codon) for a particular amino acid; and 'wobble' base-pairing, i.e. permitting non-standard base-pairing at the 3rd anti-codon position.
Source: Rfam by way of RNAcentral
GGGGAUCUAGCUCAGUGUUGGAGCACAUGCCCACUGUACACAAAGCUCUGGGUUCGAGUCCUAGCAUCCCCA